UACGAAGGGAGCUAGCGUUGUUCGGAUUCAUUGGGCGUAAAGGGCGCGUAGGCGGCGGGGUAAGUCGGGUGUGAAAUCUCAGAGCUCAACUCUGAAACUGCACUCGAUACUGCUCUGCUUGAGGACUGGAGAGGAGACUGGAAUUCACGGUGUAGCAGUGAAAUGCGUAGAUAUCGUGAGGAAGACCAGUGGCGAAGGCGGGUCUCUGGACAGUUCCUGACGCUGAGGCGCGAAGGCCAGGGGAGCAAACGGG
This 253-nucleotide ribosomal RNA is filed under the name uncultured bacterium. Its description in RNAcentral is "partial 16S ribosomal RNA". It matches the Rfam family "Bacterial small subunit ribosomal RNA", at positions 524 to 776 of the family's 1533-position model. The record is from RNAcentral.